Long non-coding RNA from Vigna radiata var. radiata (mung bean), 560 nucleotides. RefSeq lists it as uncharacterized. The record is from RefSeq and is a predicted model, not a curated record. NCBI's taxonomy places the organism in Eukaryota, Viridiplantae, Streptophyta, Magnoliopsida, Fabales, Fabaceae. The transcript has 2 exons.
CUUACCAUCUCCAUUUUGUUGCCCUGCCUGCUUCAGAUUUGAGACAGACAUCGCAUGCGAACAUAUUUUGAUUUUUAACAAUGUUCAGGCGAAGCAGGUUUCUUUCCUUCCCUACGGUAAUCGGUGCAGUCAUUAUUGGUGUUGUUUCUGGGAAGGCAAUAUUUGGACCCCCACUUGAUGAGUAUUGGAAAAAGAAGCAUCAAGAAGAGAUAUCUGCAGCCGCUACUAAGGAGAAUGACUCAACUCCAACUUAGUUCACCGUCAAGUAAUAACAUCAUCAUAUUUUUCUCUUUCUUAGGAUUAAAGAUAAGGAUUUAUAGGCCACAUUUGAAUUUAAUCUUGAAAGAGUCACUGCAUUAACUUUGCUAGGGAUUGUUGUUGUAUAAGCAGUUUGAAUUCUUUACUCUAGAAAUUCUCUGUAUAAUUCUUUUUUCAGCUACCAUUGGGUUACAAGCAUUUAUAUUAAGCUGUUGCCAUCAAUGUAAAAUUGUUAUUCUCUAAUAAAACAAGUUGUCCUUUGGACUGCAUAUACAAAUUUUGUAACUGUGAUUGGAUUCCUC